This 672-nucleotide ribosomal RNA is filed under the name uncultured Gammaproteobacteria bacterium. Its description in RNAcentral is "bacterial SSU rRNA". It matches the Rfam family "Bacterial small subunit ribosomal RNA", at positions 89 to 793 of the family's 1533-position model. Lineage: Bacteria; Pseudomonadati; Pseudomonadota; Gammaproteobacteria. The record is from RNAcentral.
AGUAGAGUGGCGGACGGCCUGUUUAACGCGUGGGAAUCUACCCAGUAGUGGGGGACAACUACCGGAAACGGUAGCUAAUACCGCAUACGCCCUAUGGGGGAAAGGCUUCGGCCGCUAUUGGAUGAGCCCGCGUCAGAUUAGCUAGUUGGUAGGGUAAAGGCCUACCAAGGCAACGAUCUGUAGCUGGUCUGAGAGGACGAACAGCCACACUGGGACUGAGACACGGCCCAGACUCCUACGGGAGGCAGCAGUGGGGAAUAUUGGACAAUGGGCGAAAGCCUGAUCCAGCAAUGCCGCGUGUGUGAAGAAGGCCUGCGGGUUGUAAAGCACUUUCAGUUGGGAAGAUGAUGACGUUACCAACAGAAGAGGCACCGGCUAAAUCCGUGCCAGCAGCCGCGGUAAUACGGAUGGUGCGAGCGUUAAUCGGAUUUACUGGGCGUAAAGCGCGCGUAGGCGGCUAAGUCAGUCAGAAGUGAAAGCCCCGGGCUCAACCUGGGAAUUGCUUUUGAUACUGCUUAGCUAGAGUUUGGUAGAGGAUAGUGGAAUUCCAGGUGUAGCGGUGAGAUGCGUAGAUAUCUGGAGGAACAUCAGUGGCGAAGGCGACUGUCUGGACCAAAACUGACGCUGAGGUGCGAAAGCGUGGGUAGCAAACAGGAUUAGAUACCCUGGUAG